UUACUAUGCUCCCAUGGAUUUCACCUCACCAGAUUGAAGCUAUUGGCAAUUCUUGCCCUAAGUUGAAAUCAUUCUCAUAUAACGAACGUAGGUCAAAGUACCCGCAUCCGCCAGAUUUGGAAGAUGAUGAUGAUGAUGAUAUUAUUGAAGGAUUUGAUCGGAAUGUUAAUGCUAGAGCAAUCGGAAAAUGCAUGCCUAAUUUGCAUCAUCUUCAACUUUUUGCACAUGAUAUGCGAAAUGAAGGACUUGAAGCCAUCCUUGAUGGCUGUCCACGCCUUGAAUCACUUGACAUCCGGCAAUGCUUUGGUCUCGAUCUUAGAGGGGAUUUAGGGAAAAGAUGCCGUGAGCAGAUAAAAGAUCUGAGACUCCCUAAUGACUCGGUUAGUGAUGUAUCAUGGCUUGUUGAGGAACUAUCUGAAUCGGAUUAUGAAUGUUACGGCGACUAUGAUUACUGUAACUAUUAUGAAGAUUUAGAUUAUGAAUCUUACGACGACUUCACUAAUCCUCUUGGCUAUGAAUCCUUCAACGAUGACGGACCUGGGAUUUUCGACUACGACUACUUCUGAGCUAGGAACAGGAUCGUAGCAGAGAGGGUAAAAAUUUCGUUUUAUUGAUUUAUGGUUUAAGAUACAUGGCCAAAUAAUACUCCUCACCUAUUUUUUUGCAGGUUUUUGUGUUGCUAGUUGAUUUCAAGUGGUUAUGGCUGCAUUUUUGGGACUUUCAAUCUAUCUCUGGCGAGAUACCAAUGGUAGUAGCAACAUACAUUUUUGGAAUUUCACCUAACUGUAUGCUGUAUGCAUAAGAAUAUUUAAUCGCUAUGUCCUUCACCGUUUAUAUAUGGUUUAAAUGUUUGAUGAUUCUUGCUUUUGUUCUUCAUUUUUGUUGUUAUAUAUCAACCUAUCUUUCAAGCACUAUUCGAAUAACUUCUAAUAAAAUAUUUUUAUAGUUAAUGAUUUUGGAAUUUCAGGAUGCAGGUGUGAGAUUAUGUUUAAGGGUUAUGUGCAAAUUUGAUGUACUACUAUUAAUAUUAUAUUGGAUUAUUAGUGUCAAAAUAUACGAAUUUUGAGGUCAUUUUAUUUUUCACGAAUUUUACAAGUUGUUUAAAAUUACAUAAAUUUUAUGUCUCUAACAAUUUUAUAAUAAGUUUAAUUUAUGAUCAACCCAUCUUUCAAGCACCUAUUCGAAUGGCUUCUCUGUCUAUAGAGUGAUGAUUAAAAUUUAAUCCCCAUCGUCGAGGGGUGAGCAUUUGAUCGAUUCUAACCAAUUCUAUAUAUAAUAGGAGCAUCGAAAAAGAUCUUUUUUUUAUCGCUCAAUUCUUUCUACUCUCAAGUUUUUCCACCAAUUUUUCUCUCUUUUCUUUCUCCUUUUAAAUUCUUUUAAAAAAUUCGUUAACUUUAUUCACAAAAAAAUAUUCAACAGGGGAUGCUAAAUUAAAGAUUUUUUUAUUUAAUUUUAAGCUAUUUAAAUAUAACUCUUAAUAAUAAUGUUGUUUGAACUUUGAAGAGUCCAAAAUUGUUAUAUUAAAGUCUUUUACUUUUAUUAUAUUAAUGAUAUUUAGUGUUAAUUUCUUAAAAUGAGAUUACUUAAAUUGUUUGCUUUAUAGUCUAUGAAUUUAAUUAUUACACGUAUUUAGUUAUUACUAUUAUACACUACUCUAUAAAUGCAAACUUGUUCAUGAUUGUUAAUAAUUUUAGAUUUCUUUUAGAACUAUUUGUAUUGAAUAUAGGAAUAAAUAGUGAAAUACCCAAUACAAAAAAAUUAAAAGGAAUGACAAAUAACCCACAAUUUAUGUUCAAGAAAAUGAAAUCUCAAGAGAGUGAUUCUCCUACAAAUGAGUCACCUCAAGGCUCAAGCUUAAGAAAAUGUCAUGAAUUUGACUGGUUCAAAUAACACUAGAAGAUAAAGAAAUUAUUUAUGAGAUUAUUCUUUGGUAUCCACAAUUUAAAAAUCUUGGAUCCGCCACCCGAUCGCAAAAAGAACAUAAAAAAAUCAAAACGAAUCAAAGAAAUAAAGUAAUAUAUAUUACUCCAUAUUACAUAUCUUAGUCUGUAACAGCAAAAUAUGGUAAAGAAAUAUUUUGCAGGCUUGUAUGGAAUAAUAUUAAAUUUUAUAUCCUUGGUUUAGAUUUAUUUAUUUAUUUAUUAUCAUCGUAUAUUUUACAAUUUUAAACAAAUUCUUUAUUCCCAACAAGGAUCAAUAUAUGUAUCAUUAAUUGACCAUGUAUUUGAAAUAAAAGAUAAUGUUUUUUGAAUAAGAUAUAUCUAAUCUAAAAGAAAUCAAGAGAUACUAUCUUUUCUUAAAGACUUAUAUGCAAUUAUGCAUUGUAUCUAAUGCGCAAUUUAGGCCUAAUUUAGGGUUUUUACUUUUUAGGCGUAUAUUAUGCGAGUAAUCCCACCCAAAAAUAUUUUUGACCAAACACGACCUUAUAUAUUUUUGAAAGAUAUUAUGGACUAGAUUAGGAUAUAUUUGAUAUAUUCUAAUAACACUUAAUUAAUUGGGAAUUAGUUGGACUAUUGGACCUAUUAAUUGGAGUUGGAUUGACUUCCUUAGUAAGACAACUCUUUGGCUUAUAAGAGAAGCCAACUCUUUGGCUUACAAGAUAAGCCAAUCCUUUUGGCUUAUAAGUAUGAGUCUUAGUCUUACAAGAAAGGAGCUUUGGCUUGCAAAACACUAAGAGAGCACUAUAGUUUCAAUCGGAGAUUUCCUAGAUGUCGAAGAUUGAAUCGUGCACUUGGAAUUGUUCCUGCAUCGAAUCGACAUACACGUGGAUACCUUAGUAGUGGAUUCACGGCAAGAAUCGAGACGCACGCAUACCACACAACGAGUAAGUUAUUCUUUUCGUUGUGUGCCUAUCUCUACACAUGAUGCAUUUGUAAAUCUAGAUCUAAUCCUUGAAUGUAUAUUCCGCUGCGUAUCAUUAGAUGAUGUCAAGGAUAACCAACAGUGGUAUCAGAGCCCGGGGCUCGAUUUACAAUUGUUAUUGUGUUCUAAUUAAUUAUGGGUUGAUGUAAAUUUAAUUUGGAAUUAAAGUAUGUUCGAAAUCUGAUUUCUGAAUUUGCUUGGACGAUUUUAGAAUUGAAUUUUUUUGAUUAAAGGUCAACUCAUCUCAUUCAAGGUCUCAUCACUCAAAUGUAAUGCAGCAGAAAGGCUGAAUCUUGAUUAAUCACAGACUCUAAUUACUAUAACAAGUGCUUCUAUGUCUGAUAAAAAAAAUCGAAAGCCAAUGUUGUUGUCAUUCUUCAUUUCACCGAUAAUUCGAAUUGGGUUCUUGCAAAAAAAUUGACUAAUUACAAUUAGGUUCAGAAAUAAAAAUGCGAAUGUCAAAAUCAACCAAUAAAAAUACAUCGAAACUCACCGGCGUGAUUUCGAUUGUCGUCUCCGGAUGGCGAGAGAAAAGAGUAGAACCAGAUUGAAGUUUGAAUUUUGGAUUUGAGCAGGAGAACGUAUGAACUGGGCGAAAAAAUAUCUAAUUUCCAUGGCUAGAUGAUUUUCGGCAGAAAUUCGGAAACUUUCCUUGAGAUACGGAGGAAGCAUAUCUAUCAAGGAAAAGAGAAGAUCUUCAAGCCAAUGAGCCGAGCUGAGAUUUCUUAUACGGAUAUAUACGUAUGAUCUUUAGUUAUAAUCAAAACUAAUCAAAACUACGUAGUUUUGCUUGUGGGACAUGGAGUGGGACACAAUUUGUGAUACACUGGAUGUCAUCCGCACAUAUUUUCUCUCAAGUUUAAAUUACACAAAAAAUCCCUAACACGGAGUACUUAAAUCCAAAUAGUAUAAAAAGUAAAAUAAUGAAAGCCCUAAACAUAUUUCACCCAUCCCAAUUAAUCAAGCGCCGCUGGGGUUUCAUCAUCUCAAGUCGUUUUCUUCUUUCUGCACCGAGGAGAGCAACAAUAAGGAGAAAAUAUCCGGUAGCCACCACUGUGAAAAACUUAUAGUCAUCGCUCGCCGUCUCUGUCUCACAAAAAAAAAACCUUCGCUCUAUCCGCCUAUCACUCGCCGCCGCACGGACCACCCCGCCCCGCCGUCUNCCGCUGGGGUUUCAUCAUCUCAAGUCGUUUUCUUCUUUCUGCGCCGAGGAGAGCAGCAGUAAGGAGAAAAGAUCCGGUAGCCACCACCGUGAAAAACUUAUAGUCGUAGCUCGCCGUCUCUAUCUCACAAAAAAAAAACCUUCGCUCUAUCCGCCUAUCACUCGCCGCCGCAUGGACCACCCCGCCCCGCCGUCUGUGGCAGUAGCCGCAGCACGACACAUGCCCUUUUUCCCUCGCUAUCUCCGCCUCUGUUUCACUUUGUCUCUCUCGCCUAUCACUCUCUGUGGCUUCGCCUCGGCUCCUCUGUGCGGCAUUCCAAACAGCAGUUGGGUAACUCAUUUAUGUCUUUAAACAUUCCAUUUUUCCUUCUCCUUCUUCAUCCACGAAUUUUGACUACAUAGAAGCUGUGAUCCUGGGGAUUUGUGAAUUUUUGAAUUUUUUCGACUGCUAUGCUUUGAGAGCACCGACUUAUUGAAGCAAUCUGUGAUCUUGAGAACACCGAAAGUGAUUUGCUUCGAAACGUGAUUUUUCAGAAAUGAAGUGCAGAGAUUAGUGUGAAGCGGUAAAUAAAUUUGGUAUUUAUAAACAAUUAUAGGUUAGUUUUUUUUGUACGUGAUACGUAACUGAACUCCAUUAAUGAUCGUGGUUUAUUGGAUAUGCAUUACAAAAAAUAUAAUAUAUUUAAUUCGUUGCAUUUGUUGAAUCUGUUAACGAUCUAAACAAACAGACGUUAAACUUGUGGAAUAUUCUGUUAAAAAAUGACGGUAGGUUAGAUUCUGUUAAACUGGCUUUUUAUUAAUAUAUAGAUUUGGUUAAUUGGAUUUUAGAAUCGAUCAAAUGCUCAUCCCUAGAUGGUGGGGAUUAAAAUUUAAGCAUCACUCUUUACCUGUAUAGCAGGCUAAUUUAUAAAAUAAAAUAAAAUAAAAUAGAUGUAAUUAAUUCUUUGAUAACGCAAAAAUAAUUUGAAUUUUAAAGUGAUACAAACUUGAUAAUUUAUGAUUAAAAAAAUGUAAUUGAUACAAACUUGGUAUUUCAUGGUUUUAAAAAAAAUGAUUAUAAUAGAUAAAGAUGUACAAUGAAAAAAUAAUUUAAGUUUUAAAGUAAGUAUAAAAUAGAAAUGAAUAAAUUUUGAAAAAACAUAUAGGAAAAAAGUCAUGAUAUGUAUAAAAAAUUUACCGCUUAAUAGUGUGCUUACUUCGAUGGAAAAGAAAAGAAAAAAUAUAUUUUCAUCAAGUUUCCAUCAUUUUCCAAUGUUUACUACGAUUGAAAAUUUUAUUCAAACAUGGUGAAACAUUUUAUCGGCAGCUCUUAAUAUUCUAUUCAAUAUCGGAUAAUAUUACACCAUGAUAGGAGUAUGAAAAUAUUUUUCAAUAUUUUUUUAUCCUUUUAAAUACAUGAUAAAAAAAGAUUGUUUUGACAUUUUUUUUAUUCAUCUUUUUUUUUUCAAUAAAUUAUAAUCAAAAUAACGGACCAUAAAGUAUAAAAAGUUAAAAACCACGCGAAAGGGCAUCUGAUUAGUCGCUUCUAAGCACGGGCUAUUGUUAAAAUUUAUGCAUUUUAAACACUAAUAACUCAAUAUAAUACUCACUCCGUUCCGUCCAAGAUGCUACAUUUCUAUAUUUGACAAAAUUAAAGAAUUUUAAACACUUAAUUAAUACUAAUUAAAUACUCCAUCCGUCCCACCAUUUUAGUCCUUUAUUCCAUUUUGAGAUGUCCCAAAAAGAUAGUCCACUUUUCUAAUUAAGACUAUAUAAAAAUAUUCUUUUUACCAAAUUAACCUUAUUUAAUGCUUCACUUAAAUGUGAAAAGGAUGUGUGAAAAUAAUAAAUAAGGGCAGAAAAGAUAAAAAUAUAAAAAUUAAAUGCAUUUUCUUAAUAUGUGUGAAAAGUGGGAGGGGACUAAAAUGGUGGGACGGAGGGAGUAUUUCUUUAUUACCUUCUCUCAUCUACUUUAUCACUUUAUUACCUUCUCUUUCUUACUUUAUCACUUUAUUACUUUCUCUCUUCUACUUUAUUACUUUAUUACUUUCUCUCUUCUACUUUAUCACUUUAUUAUUACAUGCUUAAAAUAUUAAUCUACAAUUCCUUAAAUCCCGUGCCGAGAAGCAAAUGUAGCGUCUUGGCCGGGACGGAGGGAGUAAUUUUUUUGGCACAUAACCCUUGAACAUAACCUCACACCUACAUCCUGAAAUUCCAAAAUCAAUUGAAUUAACUAUCUGUAGACAGAGAAGCCAUUCGAAUAGGUGCUUGAAAGAUAGGUUGAUGUAUGCAUAACAACUAAAAGGAACAACAAAAGCAAGAAUCAUCAAGAUUUAAACCAUAUAUAAACGGUGAAGAACACCACGAUCAUAUAUAGAAAUAUUCUUAUGCAUGGAGUUAGUUCAGCUACUAAAACAUGGGCAGAGUCAUAAGAUGUACAUAGCUACUACCAUUCAUAUCUCACUAGACAUAGAUUGGAAGUCCCAAAAUGCUGCCAUAACCACUUGAAAUCAACUACCAACACAAAAACCUACAAAAGAAUUGGUGACGAUUAUUAUUUGGCCAUGUAUCUUAAGCCAUAAAUCGAUAGAAGAAAGGUCAAGAAACCUUUACCCUAUGCUGUGACGCUGUUCCUAGCUCACAAAUAGACGAAGUCGAACAAUCCAGGCCCGUCAGGUAAGCCACGAUACAUCAUAAAACGGGUCAUAAGGGAGUCUCAUAUCUUUUAUCUGCUCACGGCAUCUUUUCCCUAAAUCCCCUUCAAGAUCGAGACCAAAGCAUUGCCGGAUGUCAAGUGAUUCGAGGCGUGGACAGCCAUCAAGGAUGGCUGCAAGUCCUUCAUUUUGCAUCAAUGAACAAAGUUGAAGAUGAUGCAAAUUAGGCAUGCAUUUUCCAAUUGCUCGAGCAUAACGAUUCCAAUCAGAUAUGUCAUCAAUACCACCAUUUUCUACACAUCGCGGAAGCUGACACCAUGAACCAUCUUCGCUAAACGAGAAUGAUUUCAUCUUUGGGCAAGCAUUGCCAAUAGCUUCAAUGUGGCGAGCAGAAAUCCAUGUGCUCGUGUUAAGAUGCAAUUCUUCCAACUGUCCAAGUUUUUCAACUGCUUGGACUAAAAGAUAUCCAGCUAUGUGAAUGCAAGAUACGAGUUUAAGACGUUUGAGAUCUCGUGAUCUGUCAAAGAGCACAAGAUUAGACUAGAUAAGUGAUUGUUUUUAGCUAGAAAAUGAUUCAGAUGUAAAAGGAGCAUAUUAUCACAAACAUGUAUUAAUGCUUUCAUCCAACAUGAUUUCAAAGGAAGCUGUACAAAUUAGAACUGUAAAAGGAGCAUAUUAUCACAAACAUGUACCCUUUUCUCAAUCAUAAUACAAUAAUCAUUUUCCUUAAAACUGUGUCAUCUCUUACUAGGCCUAUUUUUUGUGGAAGGAGUUAGUAAAUUUUUUUGAUUUUUCAGUAGCUCACUCCCCUCCACUGUCAACACUAUCUGCAUUUCUAGCAAAGCGAAUAGCAAAGGCCUUUCAUAAUUCACAUGCCAAAUCAAACUAUAACAUCAUAUCAUAUGAUCCAUGAAGAGUGAUGUCUCAAAUAUAACUCGUUUAACUACGAUGAAUCAUCAUUCUUCAAGUAAAAUCAAGAGCGCAGUAAUAUCUACCGAUGGGCGACGUAUUUUAUCAGGUGCCCGUUGCCGAAGGAGUCCAUGGUGAGGUCGACCAAUUGCCCCUGGCUCCGAUCCACUGCGCGGCGGCACAUGGCGGUAUACUUCCUUCUCAAAUUCGUAGCCCCAGGAUCAGGAUUGCACAAAUCGAUCACUCGCCACAAGGCGGGAUCCUUGCAAACCUUCCACCAGCUACUACACACUAGUUCCGCGCUUAGCAUCCCCUCCGCGCCCAACCUCUGCAGAAUGUUGACCGUUACAUCUUCUGGAAGUUCGAUCCACGGCGGCGGAGAGGCCGAGGAUGAAGCAGCUGGCGCCGGAGUUUUUCUUUGAAGCCGCCGUUUUCGGUUUCUGCUUUUCCUUCUUUCCUUGGCGGUUGGAAACCGCAUAACGCGAAGGAGAGGAAUUUUUCUGCAUUUCCUUCUUUCCAUGGCGAUUGGAAACAGCAGAAUGCGAAGAAGAGGAAGAGGAAUUUGAAAAAGGUUUGUCUAUUUGGAUUAAUUUUAGGCGCAAAACGGGAAAAAUUUUCAGUUUCUUUUUUCGCGGGUCCCAUUCCUUUAAUUUCUUGUUUCCAGCCCAAUAUGAGUGUUUCCCAAUUUUUUUUUGUUUUGGCUUUUCCUUUGGAAUGUAUUAAUUUAUAUUCAAGUGUCAUUUUCUGAAUGAAGUAGUGUUAUUUUAAAAAUCAGUUGCACAGUGUAACUAGUUGCACAUGAAUAUUUGUGUAUAAUAAAUAUAUUGCUUUGUUAAUUAAAAAAAAAUUAUAUUAUUUGGUUGAAUCACUCCUAGCUAAUUUUUAUUAAUGUAAUUUUUGUUAUUAUUUAGAAUUUAAAGUGAUUUUAUUUUAUUAUGUUAUAUAAUUAAAACAUAAAUUUUAAAUUAAAAUAUAUAAUUAAAAUAUGUAAAUAAUAAUUCAAAUAAAAUUAAUUGAAAUGUAUAUAUAGAUAUAUAAAGGUAGUGGGAGUGGGGCUCUCAAAAGAUAAGAAACUGAAUUAUUGUUGGAGGAGAUGUUAGAGAAAAAGUAAGUGGAUUUGAAAAGCACUUAUCAUACAAUUUUUUUUGGAGAAAUUAUAUAUGUUCUAUAUGCGUAAGAACUUGUGGAGAUGCACUAUAAGAAUAAUUUAUUAGAUGGUGGUUUACGCUAUUUGUAGAUAGAGAAGCCAUUCGAAUAGGUGUUUGAAAGAUAGGUUGAUAUAUAACCAACUAAAAUGAACAACAAAAGCAAGAAUCAUCAAAAUUAAAAUCAUAUAUAAAUGGUGAAGAACAUAACAAAUAAAUAUUCUUAUGCAUAGAGUUAGAUCAGCUACUAAAACAUGCAAACUGAGGGCAGAGUCAUAAGAUGCAUAUUGCUACUACCAUUGAUAUCUCACUAGAGAGAUAGAAUCAAAGUCCCAAAAUGCUUCCAUAACCACUUGAAAUCAACAAGCAACACAAAAACCUACAAAAAAAAUUUGGUGAGUAUUAUUUGGCCAUGUUCUUAAACCAUAACUCGAUAGAAGAAAGAUCAAGAAGCGAUAAAACGAAAUUAAGAAAGCUUUACCAUCUGCUAUGAUCUUGUUCCUAGCUCAGAAGAAGUCGUAGUCGAAAAUCCCAGGUCCGUCGUCGUUGAAGGAUCCAUAGCCAAGAGGAGAAAAGUAGUCGUCGUAAUAUUCAUAAUCACUAUAAUAGCUAUAAUCAUCACAGUAGUCGCUUUAACAUUCAUAAUCCAAUUCAGAUGGUUCCCAAACAAGCCAUGAUAUGUCACUCACCGAGUCAUUAGGGAGUCUCAGAUCUUUUAUCUGCUCACGGCAUCUUUUCCCUAAAUCCCCUCCAAGAUCGAGAUCAAAGCAUUGCCGGAUGUCAAGUGAUUCGAGGAGUGGACAGCCAUCAAGGAUGGCUGCAAGUCCUUCAUUCCGCAUCUCAUUAGCAAAAAGUUGAAGAUGAUGCAAAUUAGGCAUGCAUUUUCCGAUUGCUCGAGCAUAACUAUUCUGAUCAAAUCCAUCAAUAUCAUCAUCAUCAUCAUCUUCUGAAUCUGGUGGAAGCCGGCACUUUGAACCAUGUUCGUUAUAUGAGAAUGAUUUCAACUUUGGGCAAGAAUUGCCAAUAGCUUCAAUGUGGUGACCUUCUAUCCAUGGGAUCAUAGUAAGGUGCAAUUCUUCCAACUGUUCAAGUUUGCCAGCCGCUUCAACUAAAGGAUCUAUAUGUGCAGACAUCUCAUUGAAAUAUUCAAGUUUAAGACGUUUGAGAUUUCGUGAUCUGCCAAACAGCACAUGAUUAGACCAGAUAUUAAUUAUUUUUAGCUAGAAAAUGAUUUAGAUGUAAAAGGAGCAUAUUAUCACAAACAUGUAUUAACGCUUUCAUCCAACAUGAUUACAAAGGAAGUUGUACAAGUUAGAAAAUGUUCAAUGAAGCACAAUAUACUCUUCUUUUGAUGAUUGCCUUAGUGAUACUAAGCACAUGUUUUUAGCACUGAAUUUCUGUUGGAGGUGUUUGGAACACAGGUAAACACAACUUCAAAGUGCAAGCAAAAAAGGUUCCAAACCAAUAAAAUUUCAUUAAGAGAGAUUGCAACUUCGAGUCACAAUUGCUAAAAGGAGCCGUUUGAAUACUUGCAAGAAGUUAUUUCUUGUUCAAAGCAACGGCAAAACAAGAAAGGGCGAAAAUUCUGAGAAAAAGAGAAAACUUUUUGAUUUUUCAGUAGCUCACUCCCCUCUACUGUUAACACUCUAUCUCCAUUUCUGAUUCUAACAAAGUGAAUAGCAAAGGCCUUUCAAAAUUCACAAAGCAAAUACAACAUGCCAAAUCUCAUGUCCACGCUAGAGUUGUAACUAGCUGAGCCUAAUACUACACUAUGUCCAUUUCUGAUAAUGUAUUACUCGAGUUUGAUCUCAAGCUCCUAAAAGGUUCGUGCACUAGCUAGAUUGAAGGUCCGCGAACAAAUAAAUCCAAACACGAACGUGAGUCAAACGAGGCGAUGAGAUCGGCUCGUUUGCUGUUGAACGAGAUUUUUUCGAGCAGAGCCUCGAAUAACUGUGCAUUCAGAGAGCUAAUCCAAGAGGCACUGCCAAAUUUGAGCUUCAAUUCAAUCAUUAAAAAAUAAAAUAAAACAAAUGAUAAUGAACGAGCAUUUCAACAACAACACCAGCAGCUUUAUAAAAUCAUAACAUCAUAUCAUAUCCACGAACAGCGAUGCCUCAAAUAUAACUCGUUUAACAACGAUGAAUCAACAUUUUUCAAGUAAUAUCAAGAGCGGAGUAAUAUUUACCGAUCGGCGACGUAGUUUAUCAGUUCCCCGUCGCCGAAGCAGUCGAUGGUGAGGUCAACCAAUUGCCCCUGGCUCCGAUCCACUGCGCGGCGGCACAUGGCAGUGUAGUCCUCGUUCAUAUAGAUAUCAUGAGGGUUGCACAAAUCGAUCACUCGCCACAGGGCGGGAUCCUUGCAAACUUUCCACCAGGUUCUACACACUCGCUGCGCGUUCCUUAGCAUCCUCUUUGCGCCCAACCUCUGCAGAAUGUUGGCCGUUACAUCUUCGGGAAGUUCGAUCCACGGCGGCGGAGGGGCCGAGGAUGAAGCAGCUGGCGCCGGAGUUUUCCUUUCAACCCGCCGUUUUCGUUUUCUGCUUUUCCUUCUUUCCAUGGCGAUUGAAAACGCAGAUUGGGAAGGAGAGGAAUUUGAAAACGUUUGUUUAUUAUUUGGGUGAAUAUUUAGGCGGAAAAUACAUAAGGUCGUGUUUGGUCGCGUACGGCCCAAAAAUAACGCCCAAAACCCGUAAAAUUUGAGGUGGUUUCCUAUUAAACCGAUUUUUUUGUGCUAAAAUUUUGCCUAAAUUGUACUCCCUCCGUCCCAAUAAAUGUGGCCACUUUGUUUUCGGCACGGAGAUUAAGAAAGGGAAGGUUAUGUUUUAAUGAUGUGUGGUCCACCAAAAUUAAAUAGUUAAUUAAGUGUGGAAAACAUUCUUCUUCUUCUCACUUAAUCUGUUCCACAGUCUGCCGCCGGCGACGGCAACGGCGAAGCCGGCGGUCGUCCCUCACCCUCUAUCAAAUCGCAAAUACCAAAUCGCAUAGCCAGAAACCAAAAAUCAGAAACCAAAAACUAAAAAUCAAAAACCAAAAAAUUGCAGCCCUAUGGCUGUGCAGAUUCGUCGUCGGGAAAUAGCAUAACCAGAAACCAAAAACUAAAAAUCAAAAACCAAAUCAGACAAAUAGCAUAACCAGAUUCGUAGUCGGGAAUCGAGGCCAAGGGCCACGAUUAAAGUGCCUGGAAUCAGGGGAUAUGGAGCUCGGCGGCGGCAGCCCUAUGGCUGUGCAGUCGCCGGACUUGAAGGAGAGGUUGAGACGGAGAUGAGAGGUUUUGGGGCGUGCGGCGGUGGCUGGUUCGCUAGCUGCUAUGCGCGGUCGCCGGAAAUCGAAGCUGAGGCGGUGAGUUUAGAUCUAGGGUUUGUGAGAGAAGGGCGGCGCCAUGGCUGGGGAAAUCGAAACUGAGGCGGUGGUCGUCGGUGUGUGUGUUCUGUGGAGGGGAAGAAAGGGGCGUCGGCGGUCGUGGCUGACGGCGGUGCGGCGGUUGACUGCGGCGAACGAGUCGGUGGAGAAGCAGAGGAGCGAGUCGGUGGAGAAGCGGAGGAGGAGAUCCACCGGAACGGUCCUCUUCCGGCGAGGGUCUGUGGUGUGGGUAGGGGGUGAGGGUGCGGUGGCUGCUGGCGGGGGCGGCGGGGCGAGAGAGAGAGAGAGAGAAAGGUGGUGGGCGGCGGGAGGCAGGAAUUGUGGUGGGAGUUUAUUUAAUUAGUAGGGUUAGUUAGAUUUAAUUAGAUUAAUUAAUUAGACUUAAUUAAAGUAAAUAUUUCUAUUUUAAGAAAGUUGCCACUUUUAGUGGGACAAACUAAAAUGGAAAGUGGCCAUAUUUAUUGGGACGGAGGGAGUACUUAGAUACAAUGCAUAUAUGUUUUUUUGUGCUAAAAUUUUGCCUAAAUUGUACUUAGAUACAAUGCAUAUAUACCAAUGAGGUGAUCUUGGGUACACCCGGGUGUACGUACAACCAGAUUAUAUCUUCACUAAAAUUUUGAUCCAUAUCCUGAUUUGAAUCCAUAUCCUGACCCAACCCAUAUAAAUAACACUAUUAUGGAUACAGGUCAAUCCGAUUGUACGGUACACCCAGGUGUACCCCAGAUUUUGUGUAUACCAAUUAAUGAUACAUAUAUUGAUCCGUCUUAAAAAAAUGGUACAUAUACUGAUCCGUGUUGAGAAUAAAGAAUUUGGUUAAAAUUGCAAAAUAUACGAUAUUAAUAAAUAAAUAAAUCUUCAAAACCUAAUAUCUAAAAUUUACUAUUAUUCCGUACAAGUCUUAAAAAUAUUUAUUACCAUAUUUUACAAUUUUAGACUUAGAUAUGUAAUAUGGAGUAAUAUAUUACUAUCUUUGUCAUCACAAUUAAGUACAAGUCCUAACUUGAUCAAUUUUUUUUGUCAUCACAAUUAAGUUGAUCAAUUUUCUUACAUGGAAUAAAUAUAAACAAUGAAACAUCUAAUUACUUAUUCAUUUUAUUGUCAAAAACACUUAAAAAUUAUCUUAAAUUACGUGUCGAAAAGAAAUUGACCAAUUAAACUAGGACAUAAAUAUACUUUAUUGCUUUGAUUGGUGUUGAAUUCGUUUUGAUUUUAUUAUGUUCUUUUAGCAAGUAGUGGACUCACAUUUUUUAAAUUGGGAGUACAAACAAAUAAUCUAGUAAAUCAAUUCUUUAUAUUCUAAUGGUAUAGCAGUACUACUUGAACCAAAUUAAAUUUAUAGUAGCAUUUUCUUGAACUUUAGGUGACUCAUUUUUAGAAGACUCACUUCUAGAGAUUUCAUUUUCUUUAACAUAAAUUGUGGGUUUUUUGUUAUUCCUUUUAACUUUUUUCGAUGUAGGUAUUUCGUUAUUCAUUCUUAUAUUUAAUACACAAAUGUAAUCAUUCUAAAAGAAAACUAAAAUUAUUAGCAAAUCAUGAACAAGUUCGCACAUCAAAUAGGUAAAAAUAUACUCUCCUCAUUCUUAUAAAAAGUAUCAAAUUUAUUAUUUUCAUCAGUUCUCAUAAAAUGUAUCCAAUUUAUUUUUUAGUAAAUUUUUUCACUCACAAUAUAUUCAACUGCCUUAUUAAAACUUGUGCUAUUCAUGUAUGGUUAUUUUUUAUAAGGAUAGGAUAGAUAGAGUAAUUUGCAAAUGGAUUACUCAUUUUAAUAUAUACUUUAUUUUUUUUAUUUAUGUUGAAUUCAUUUUUAUUUUAUUAUGUUCUCUUUGAUUUGUCGGUUUCAUUGGUCAUUUAAAAGAACUAGUAAGCGUGUGAUGAUUGAUUGGGAAAUGCAGGAAUCCAACUAGUCUAUCAAAUACAUUGUACAGCGUCGUUUGUUAAAUUGAUCGAUUAAUCUAUAUUAAAUUUUUGAAAUGCCAUGUUAAUUUUAAUUUGAACGUAGUUUAAUUUUUUUUUAUAAAAUUGCUAGAGACAUAAAAUUUAUUUAUUUUCAAAUAAAACUUUCAAAGUUCAUAAAAAAAAUCAAAAUGAGUCCAAAAUUUAUAUGUUUAGACGCUAAUAACCUAAUAUUAUUAUUAAUAGCAGACCAUACAUCAAAAUUUGCACAUGCCCUUAAACUGUUAAAACAUAAUCUCACAUCUACAUCCAAUUCCAAAAAAUCACUUAACUAUAAGAAUAUUAUACACUAUCAGUAGAUAGAGAAGCCAUUCGAAUAGGUGUUUAAAAGAUAGGUUGAUAUAUAACAACGAAAACGAACAACAAAAGCAAGAAUCAUCAAAAUUUAAAUCAUAUAUAAAUGGUGAAGAACAUAACAAUUAAAUAUUCUUAUGCAUAGAGUUAGAUCAGCUACUAAAACAUGCAAACUGAGGGCAGAGUCAUAAGAGGCAUAUUGCUACUACCAUUGAUAUCUCACUAGAGAUAGAAUCAAAGUCCCAAAAUGCUGCCAUAACCACUUGAAAUCAACUAGCAACACAAAGACCUACAAGAAAAAUUGGUGAGGAGUAUUAUUUGGCCAUGUAUCUUAAGCCAUAAAUCUAACAAACGAAAUUAAGAAAGCUUUACCCUCUGCUAUGCUAUGAUCUUGUUCCUAGCUCAGAAGAAGUCGUAGUCGAAAAUCCCAGGUCCAUCAUCGUUGAAGAAUCCGUAGCCACGAGGAGAAAAGUCAUCGUUGAAGGAUCCAUAGCCAAGAGGAGAAAAGUAGUCGUCGUAAUACUCAUAUUCAAAAUCACCAUAAUAGCUAUUAUCAUCAUAGCAGUCGCUGUAACGUUCAAAAUCCAAUUCAGAUGGUUCCCCAACAAGCCAUGGUACAUCACUAACCGAGUCAUUAGGGAGCCUCAGAUCUUUUAUCUGCUCACGGCAUCUUUUCCCUAAAUCCCCUCCAAGAUCGAGACCAUAGCAUUGCCGGAUGUCAAGUGAUUCGAGGCGUGGACAGCCAUCAAGGAUGGCUUCAAGUCCUUCGUUUUGCAUCUCCUCAUGUGCAAAAAGUUGAAGAUGAUGCAAAUUAGGCAUGCAUUUCCCGAUUGCUCUAGCAUAAGUAUUCCGAUCAAAUCCUUCACUGUAAUAAUCAUCUUCUUCUGAAUCUGGCAUAAGCCGGAUCUUUGAACCACGUUCGUUAUAUGAGAAUGACUUCAACUUUGGGCAAGAAUGGCCAAUAGCUUCAAUGUGGUGAGCUUCUAUCCAUGGAAACAUAAUAAGGUGCAAUUCUUCCAACUGUUCAAGUUUUUCAACCGCCUGAAUUAAAGGAUCUGCAGACAUCUCAUCGCAAGAUACGAGUUUAAGACGUUUGAGAUUUCGUGAUCUGUCAAAAAACACAAGAUUAGACCAGAUAUUGAAUUUUUUUAAGCUAGAAAAUGAUUCAGAUGUAAAUGAAGCAUAUUAUCACAAACACGUAUCAACGCUUUCAUCCAACAUGAUUACAAAGGAAGUUGUACAAAUUAGAAAAUGUUCAAUCAAGCACAAUAUAUUCUUCUUUUGAUGAUUUCCUUGGUCAUAUUAAGCACAUGUUUUUAGCACUGAAUUUCUGUUGGUGGUGUUUGGAACACAGGUAUAUACUACAACUUCAAAGUGCAACCAAAAAAGGUUAUAGACCAACAAGAAUUCACUAACAGAGAUUGCAACUUCAAGUCACAAUUCAUAGCAAUGGCAAAACAAGAAAUUGCGAAAAUUCUGAGAAAAAGAUAAAACUUUUUGAUUUUUCAGUAGCUCACUCACCUACACUGUUAAUACUCUAUCUCCAUUUCUAACAAAGUGAAUAGCAAAGGCCUUUCACAAUUCACAAAGCAAAUACACAUGCCAAAUCUCAUGACGAAGGUAGAGUUGUAAACUAGUUGAGCCGAAGACUACACUAUUUCGACAAAAGGCUCGUGCACUGGCUAGAUUGAAGAUUCGUGAACAAAUAAAUCCAAACAUGAACGUGAGUCAAACGAGACGAUGAGAUGAGAUCGGCUUGUUUAGUAUUGAACGAGCUUUUUUCGAGCAGAGCCUCGAAUAGCUGUGCAUUCACAGAGCUAGUCCAAGAGGCACUGUCAAAUUUGAGCUUUGAACCAAAACGAGACUCAAUUCAAUCAUCAAAAAAUAAAAGAAAACAAAUGAUAAUGAACACGAAUUUCAACAACAACACAAGCAGCUUUAUUAAACUAUAACAUCAUAUCAUAUCCGCGAACAGUGAUGCCUAAAAUAUAACUCGUUCAACAACGAUGAAUCAUCAAUCUUCAAGUAAUAUAAAGAGCGCAGUAACAUUUACCGAUCGGCGACAUAGAUUAUCAGUUCCCCGUCGCCGAAGAAGUCAAUGGUGAGGUCGACCAAUUGCCCCUGGCUCCGAUCCACGGCGCGGCGGCACAUGGCAUUGUAGUCCUCGAACAUAUUCAUAUCAUCAAUGUUGCACAAAUCGAUCACUCGCCACAUGGCGGGAUCCUUGCAAACUUUCCACCAGGUUCUACACACUUGCUGCGCGCUCCUCAGCAUCGCCUCAGCGCCCAACCUCUGCAGAAUGUUGGCCGUUACAUCUCCGGGAAGUUCGAUCCACGGCGGCGGCGGAGGGGGCGACGGUGAAGCAGCUGGCGCCGGCGCUUUCUUUUGAACCCACUGUUUUCGGAUUCUGCAUUUCCUUCUUCCCAUGGCGAUUGAAAACGCAGAAUAGGGAGGAGAGGAAUUUCAAAAGAUUUGUUUAUUAUUUGGGUGAAUAUUUAGGCGGAAAAUAUAUAAGGUCGUGUUUGGUCAAAAAUAUUUUUGGGUGGGAUUACUCGCAUAAUAUACGCCUAAAAAGUAAAAACCCUAAAUUAGGGCCUAAAUUGCGCUUUAGAUACAAUGCAUAAUUGCAUAUAACUCUUUAAGAAAAGAUAGUAUCUCUUGAUUUCUUUUAGAUUAGAUAUAUCUUAUUCAAAAAACAUUAUCUUUUAUUUCAAAUACAUGGUCAAUUAAUGAUACAUAUACUGAUCCUUGUUGGGAAUAAAGAAUUUGUUUAAAAUUGUAAAAUAUACGAUGAUAAUAAAUAAAUAAAUAAAUAAAUCUAAACCAAAGAUAUAAAAUUUAAUAUUAUUCCAUACAAGCCUGCAAAAUAUUUCUUUACCAUAUUUUGCUGUUAUAGACUAAGAUAUGUAAUAUGGAGUAAUAUUUCUUUGAAUUAGUGUUGAAUUCGUUUUGAUUUUUUUAUGUUCUUUUUGCGAUCGAGUGGCGGAUCGAAGAUUUUUAAAUUGUGGAUACCAAAGAAUAAUCUCAUAAAUAAAUUCUUUAUCUUCUAAUGGUACACUAGUGUUAUUUGAACCAAUCAAAUUCAUGACAUUUUCUUGAGCUUGAGGUGACUCAUUUGUAGGAGAAUCACCUCUCUUGAUAUUUCAUUUUCUUGAACAUAAAUUGUGGGUUAUUUGUCAUUCCUUUUAAUUUUUUUGAUUGGGUAUUUGACUAUUUAUUCCUAUAUUCAAUACAAAUAAUUCUAAAAGAAAUCUAAAAUUAUUAACAAUCAUGAAAAAGUUUGCAUUUAUAGAGUAGUGUAUAAUAACUAAAUACGUGUAAUAAUUAAAUUCAUAGACUAUAAAGCAAACAAUUUAAGUAAUCUCAUUUUAAGAAAAUAACACUAAAUCAUUAAUAUAAUAAAAGUAAAAGACUUUAGUAUAACAAUUUUGGACUCUUCAAAGUUCAAAGUCCAAACAAUAUUAUUAUUAAGAGUUUAUAUUUAAAUAGCUCAAAACUAAAAAAUCUUUAAUUUAGCAUCCCCUGCUGAAUAUUUUUUUGUGAAUAAAGUUAACGAAUUUUUGAAAAGAAUUUAAAAGGAGAAAGAAAAGAGAGAAAAAUUGGUGGAAAAACUUGAGAGUAGAAAGAAUUGAGCGAUUAAAAAAAAAAAACACUCUCACCCCUAGACGAUGGGGAUUAAAUUUUAAUCAUCUCUCUAUAGACAAAGAAGCCAUUCGAAUAGUUGCUUGAAAGAUGGGUUGAUCAUAAAUUAAACUUAUUAUAAAAUUGUUAGUGACAUAAAAUUUAUGUAAUUUCAAACAACUUGUAAAAUUCGUGAUAAAAUCAAAAUGACCUCAAAAUUCGUAUAUUUUGACACUAAUAAUAAUCCAAUAUAAUAUUAAUAGUAGUACAUCAAAAUUUGCACAUAACCCUUAAACAUAAUCUCAUACCUGCAUCCUGAAAUUCCAAAAUCAUUAUUCAUUAACUAUAAGAAUAUUUUAUUAGGUGUUCGAAUAGUGCUUGAAAGAUACGUUGAUAUAUAUAACAACAAAAAUGAAGAACAAAAGCAAGAAUCAUCAAAUAUUUAAACCAUAUAUAAACAGUGAAGGACAUAGCGAUUAAAUAUUCUUAUGCAUAAAGUUAGGUGAAAUUCCAAAAAUGUAUGUUGCUACUGCCAUUGGUAUCUCGCUAGAGAGAAUCAAAGUCCCAAAAAUGCAGCCAUAACCACUUGAAAUCAACUAGCUACACAAAAACCUGCAAAAAAUAGGUGAGGAGUAUUAUUUGGCCAUGUAUCUUAAGCCAUAAAUCUAACAAACGAAAUUAAGAAAGCUUUACCCUCUGCUAUGAUCUUGUUCCUAGCUCAGAAGAAGUCGUAGUCGAAAAUCCCAGGUCCGUCAUCGUUGAAGAAUCCGUAGCCAAGAGGAGAAAAGUCAUCGUUGAAGGAUUCAUAGCCAAGAGGAUUAGUGAAGUCGUCGUAAGAUUCAUAAUCUAAAUCUUCAUAAUAGUUACAGUAAUCAUAGUCGCCGUAACAUUCAUAAUCCGAUUCAGAUGGUUCCUCAACAAGCCAUGAUGCAUCACUAAUCGAGUCAUUAGGGAGUCUCAGAUCUUUUAUCUGCUCACGGCAUCUUUUCCCUAAAUCCCCUCUAAGAUCGAGACCAAAGCAUUGCCGGAUGUCAAGUGAUUCGAGGCGUGGACAGCCAUCAAGGAUGGCUUCAAGUCCUUCGUUUUGCAUCUCCUCAUAUGCAAAAAGUUGAAGAUGAUGCAAAUUAGGCAUGCAUUUUCCGAUUGCUCUAGCAGUAACAUUCCGAUCAAAUCCUUCAAUAAUAUCAUCAUCAUCAUCAUCUUCCAAAUCUGGCGGAUGAGGGUACUUUGAACCACGUUCGUUAUAUGAGAAUGAUUUCAACUUAGGGCAAGAAUUGCCAAUAGCUUCAAUCUGGUGAGGUGAAAUCCAUGGGAGCAUAGUAAGGUGUAAUUCUUCUAACUGUUCAAAAUUUUCAAUCGCUUGAACUAAAGGACCUCCAGACAUCUGAUGGCAAAAUACAAGUUUAAGACGUUUGAGAUUUCGUGAUCUGCCAAACAGCACAAGAUUAGACCAGAUAUUGAUUUUUUUAAGCCAGAAAAUGAUUCAGAUGUAAAAGGAGCAUAUUAUCACAACAAGUAUUAACGCUUUCAUCCAACAGGAUUACAAAGGAAGUCGUACAAAUUAGAAAAUGUUCAAUCAAGCACAAUAUCCUCUUCUUUUGAUGACUAACAAGAUUUAUUGCCUUAGUGAUAUUAAAAUGAGAAAUAAGCCUCUCGGCACAUGUUUUACUGAAUUUAUGUUGGAGGUGUUUGGAACACAGGUAAAUACAACUUCAAAAACCAACCAAAAAGGUUCCAGACCAACAAAAUAUCAUUAAGAGAGAUUGCAACUUCAAGUCACAAAUGCUAAAAGGCGCCUUCAGAAUACUUGCAAGAGGUUCUUUCUUUUUCAAAGCAACGGCGAAACAAAAAAAAGGGCGAAAAUUCUAAUAGAAAGAAAAAACUUUUUGAUUUUUUAGUAGCUCAUUCACCUCCACUGUCAACACUCUAUCUCCAUUUCUAACAAAGUGAAUAGCAGAGGCCUUUCACAAUUCACAGAGCAAAUACAACAUGCCAAAUUUCAUGUCCAAGACUCCAAGGUAGAGUUUAAAACUAGUCGAGCCGAAUACUAGACGAGCUCAAGCUCGGCUAGUAUGAUGCUCGAUAAUGUCAUAUUCGAGUUUGAGCUCAAGCUUGGCUCAUAUUCGUAUAAAUAGUGUUCGAGCUUUCAGCUCGAGCUCAUAAAAGGCUUGAGCAGUGGCUUGAUUCAAUCAAAAGAAUCCAAAAAUGUAGUAAACUGCCAAAUUUGACAACGGCUUGUUUGCUAUCAAACGAUUUUUUUCCGAGCCAGUUCUCUUGCGAGUAGCUCUGUUAUUUACAAAGCUAGUCCAAGCCAACCACCGCCAAAUUUGAGCUCUUUGAACCAUAACAAGACUCAAUUUUUCGAUCAUUAAAAAACAAAAACAAAUGAUAAAAAAAUAAGAUAAUCAACGCGCAGUUCAACUACUCAAGCAGCAUUAUAAAACUAUAACAUCAUAUCACAUACGUGAACAGUGAUGCCUCAAAUAUAACUCGUUUAACAACAAUGAAUCAUCAUUCUUCAAGUAAUAUCAAGAGCGGAGUAAUAUUUACCGAUCGGCGAUGUAGUUUAUCAGUUCCCCGUCGCCGAAGUAUUCAAUGGUGAGGUCGACCAAUUGCCCUUGGCUCCGAUCCACUGCGUGGCGGCACAUGGCAGUGUAAUCCUCGUUUGAGAUUUUGCGAUAUCUGAAUGCAAGAUACAAAUUUAAGACGUUUGAGAUUUCGUGAAAGGAGCAUAUUAUCACAAACAUGUAUUUACGCUUUCAUCCAACAUGAUUACAAAGGAAUUAGGAAAUGUUCAAUGAAGCACAAUAUCCUCUUCUUUUGUACAAAUAAGCCUAUCAGCGCAUGUUUUUAGCACUGAAUUAUGUUGGAGGUGUUUAGUAAAUACAACUUCAAAAUGCAACAAAAAAUGUUCCAGACCAACAAAAUAUCAAUAAGAGAGAUUGUAACUUUGAGUCACAAUUGCUAAACGAAGGAGCCUUUCAAAUACUUGCAAGAAGUUCUUUCUUGUUCAAAGCAACGACGAAACAAAACAGGGUGAAAAUUCUGAGAGAAAGAUAGAAGUAGAACUUUUUGAAUUUUCAGUAGCUCACUCCCCUCCAAUGUUAAUACUCUAUAUCCAUUUCUAACUAAGCAAAUAGCAAAGGCCUUUCACAAUUCAAAAAGCAAAUGCAAUAUGCCAAAUCUCAUGUCCAAGGUAGAGUCGUAACCUAGGCAAGCUCGAGCUCAGCUAGUAUGAUACUCGAUAAUGUCAUAUUAGAGUUUGAGCUCAAGCUUGAAUCAUAUUCGUAUAAAUGGUGUUCAAGCUCAUAAAAGGCUAGUGCAGUGGCUUGAUUUGAACAAACGAAUCCGAACAAGUAGUAAACCGCAAGGCUUGAGACCGACUCCUUUACUAAUUACUAUCGAACGAGCUUUUUCCGAGCCGAGUCUCUCUUGCAAGUAGCUCUGUUCAUUUACAGAACUAGUCCAAGGCAGGCACCGCCAAAUUUGAGCUUUGAACGAAAACAACUCAAAUUUUCCAAUCACUCAAAAAAAGAAAACAAAUGAUAAAAAAAAAAAUGAUAAUCUACGUGCAUUUCAACAACUACACAAGCAGCUGUAUAAAACAAAACAUCAUACCAUAUCCAUGAACAGUGACGCCUCAAAUAUAAGUCGUUUAACAACGACAAAUCAUCAUUCUUCAAGUAAUAUCAAGAGCGCAGUAAUAUAUACCUAUUGGCGACGUUGUUCAUCAGUUUCCCUUUGCCCAAGGAGUCAAUCGUCAGUUUCCCUUUGCCCAAGGAGUCAAUCGUGAGGUCGACAAAUUGCUCCACGCUCUGAUCCACUGCACGGCGGCACAUGGCAGUGAAGUCCAUUUGUGACAUUUCGUCAUAUCUGAAUGCAAGAUACAAGUUUAAGACGUUUGAGAUAUCAUGAUCUGCAAAGUGCACAAGAUUAGACAAUAACUAAUUUUUUUAAGCUAUAAAAUGAUUCAGAUGUAAAAGGAGCAUAUUAUCACAAACAUAUAUUAACGCUUUCAUCCAACAAGAUUACAAAAUGUUCAAUCAAGCACAAUAUCCUCUUCUUUUGUACAAAUAAGCCUCUCAGCACAUGUUUUUAGCAUUGAAUUUAUGUUAGAGGUGUUUGAAACACAGGCAAAUACAACUUCAAAAUGCAACCAAAAAGGUUCCAGACCAACAAAAUAUCAUUAACAGAGAUUGCAACUUCGAGUCACCAUUGCUAAAAGAAGGAGCCUUGUGAAUACUUGCAAGAAGUUCUUUCUUGUUCAAAGCAACGACGAAACAAAAAAGGGUGAAAAUUCUGAGAGAGAGAUAGAACUUUUUGAUUUUUCAGUAGCUCACUAUCCUCCAGUGUUAACACUCUAUCUCCAUUACUAACUAAGAGAAUAGCAAAGACCUUUCACAAUUCACAAAGCAAAUGCAACAUGCCAAAUCGCAUGUCCAGGGUAGAGUUGCAAACUAGCUGAGCCGAAUACUAGACGAGCUCGAGCUCAGCUAGUAUGAUACUCGAUAAUGCCAUAUUCGAGUUUGAGCUCAAGCUUAUAUUCAUAUAAAUAGUGUUCGAGCUCUCAGCUCGAGCUCAUAAAAGGCUUGUGCAGUGGCUUGAUUCGAACAAACGAAUCCGAACAUGUAGUACACCGAGGCUUGAGAUAAUCGAACGAUUUUUCUUCCGAUCGUACGAGUAGGAGUAGCUCUGAACCAAAAAUAAUAAUAAUAAAAUAUGAUAAUGAACGCGCAUUUCAACAACAACACAAGCAGCAUUAUAAAACUAUAACAUCAUAUCAUAUCCAUGAACAUCAAGAGCGCAGUAAUAUCUACCGAUCGGCGACGUAGUUUAGCAGUUCAUCGUUGCCGAAGGGGUCAAUGGCGAGGUCGACCAAUUGCCUCUGGUUCCAAUCGACUUCGGGGCGGCACAUAGACAUGGCAGUGUACGUAUCGAUCAUACGAGGGUAGUGCAAAACGAUCACUCGCCACAUGGCGGGAUCCUUGCAAACUUUCCACCAGGUACUACACACUCGCUGCGCGCUCCUCAGCAUCCCCACCGCGCCCAACCUCUGCAGAAUGUUGGCCGUUACAUCUCCGGGAAGUUCGAUCCACGGCGGCGAAGGGGGCGAGGACGAAGCAGCUGGCGCCGCCGCCGGAGUUUUCUUUGGAACCCACUGUUUUCGGAUUCUGCUUUUCCUGUUGGCCGUUACAUCUCUGGCAAGUUCGAUCGACGGCGGAGGAGGGGCCGAGGAUGAAGCAGCUGGCGCCGGCGCCGGAGUUUUCUUUGGAACCCACUGUUUUAGGUUUCUGCUUUUCCUCCUUCCCAUGGCGAUUGAAAACGCAGAAUAAUGGUAAGGAGAGGAUUUUGAAAAGGUUUGUUUAUUUGGGUGAAUAUUUAGGGGCAAAGUAUUUAAGGCCGUGUUUGGUAGUGUACGGCCCAUUUUUUUUUGGAUGGGAUUAGUCGCAUAAUAUAAGCCCAAAAACACCAAAAAUUUACCUAGAUUGCAUUAGAUACAAUGAAUAGAGACCAAUUAUCGUCUCUCUAUUUCAAAUACAUGAUCCUCAGUUCUUGUAUUUUAGAUUUAUCUGAUUCUGAAAAACAUAUCUUUUAUUUCAAAUACAUGAUCAACAAAUGAUACGCAUACUGAUCCUUGUUGGGAAUAAAGAAUUUGGUCUAUAAUUGCAAAAUAUACCAUAAUCAAAAAAGAUAUUUUCAAAGCCUAAGAUAUAAAUUUACUAGUAUUCCGCACAAGCCUGAAAAAUAUUUAAUUAUUACAUUUUAUAGUUAUAGACUAAGAUAUAUAAUAUAUUAAUAUAUUUAUUUUAUUUCUUUGAUUGAUGUGAAUCCAUUUUGAUUUUAUUAUAUUUUUGGAUUGUGGUCGAAAUUUAAAGUACCCACUUUGAUUACUCAUCUUAUAAAAUUACCCNGUUUUUAUACUUUGAAUUUUGAAAAAGUUCGCUCCUAUAUAACUAGGGGGUGGGUAUUUUUCAUAGACAUAUUAUGAAAUUAAAGUGGGUAUUUUAAUAUAUUAAGUCUAAAAUUUUUGGCUCUGUUACGAUCCUAUCAAUUUUAUUUAUCUCAUCUACUAACCAAACGUCAUGGAAGAAUACUGAACACGAUUAGGGAUGGCAACGGGCCGGAUCUGGACCGGGUCUGGACAAUACCAGAUCCAGAUCCGUUUGCAUAUACCAGAUCCAGAUCCGGAUCCAGAUCCGCGGAUCUGAAAAUUUUGGAUCCAAAUCCAGAUCCGUCAGAUCCACGGAUCCGCGGGUCCAGAUCCAUGGAUCUAGUGUUUUCAAAUUAAAUUCAAAAAUAAAUUCACAAAAUCAACAACAUUUAAUAUCCAUCAUGAAAAAUAUUGUACAAAAUCAACAAUAUUUAAUAUCCAUCAUGAAAAUCAAGUCAUCAAAAUAUCAAAAUAAACAAAUCUCAAUGCAUGAGUCUACGAGAAGUCGAGAACAAGUCUUCCCCAAUCCAAAUUAAUUCUAUUUUUUUUUAUUUUUUAAUAUAUCUAAUAUUAUUAAUAAAAUAAAUAUAAAAAAUAAAUAAUAUAUUUUAAUUAAAUCGGAUCUACGGGUCGGAUCUGGGUCGGAUCCGGAUCUCAAAUGUCAAGAUCCAGAUCCAUAUCCAUUUAAAAAAAUGAGAUCCAGAUUCGAAUCCAGAUCCGCGGAUCUAAAAAAUUGAGAUCCAGAUCCGUCAAAUCGAAUCUGGAUCCACGGAUCUGAACCGGGUCCAGAUCCACUGCCAUCCCUAAACACGAUGUAGCACAUACAAGGUAUAUCUCGUAAAAGAGCAGGCAGGUAGUAGGGCAACAUGCUAUAAUUAGUGAAAAGCAGUUCUAAUAAUAAGUAAAUUUAGACAUAUUAUUAUUAUUAUUAUUAUUAUUAUUAUUAUUAUUAUUAUUAUUAUUAUUAUUAUUAUUAUUUUCUUUUUUUCUGACUUGUAUGUAAUUUAGUCUCGUAUAUAAUAAUAAACGACACUAAAAAAUAUUUGCCUUAAUUUAACACGAUGAAGUUGACAAGCCGAAUCAUUAGGCGGAGAAAGACUUGCCUUAAAAAUGCAAUUUUUGGCACUAAUACCGAAACUUUUUGCCUCACAAAAUAACAUGCAUCCAUGUUAUAUUGCAAUUUUUUUGGUUACGCUGUCAACCCAUACAAAAUUUUUGAUGCAUAGUGUAUAUAUAUAUUAUACUCAGCAAAAUAAUAGUGAACUCAACUCAACUAUAUAACCUCCAAAUUAAAUGCAAGUAUUUCACUAUUCUUCCAGUUCCACAUAAUUUCUCACCAUACAAAUAGAUCAACAACACCUUAACUAUCAGAAAUGGUAGCUGGUGAGUUGCCUGAAUCUUUUUAUUUAUUUAUUAUUAUUAUUAGUUUAUUUAAAUUUCAAAUUUCGAAUUUUAAAAUUUUUUGGAUACUUGGUCCGUGAAUUUCACAAAAUGAAAAUAAAUACAGGGCAUUAAUUAGUAAAGGGUAACAAGUAGGCAAAUUCUUGACUAUAUUUGAUUAGGUGGGGAACCAUAAUGUCCCAAAAUAUGCAGAGGCACAAGCCAAAAAACAGCUAUAUCCUCAUCAUCCAUACCCUCAAUAGUGUUUCCUGCUAUACAAUUUUUCUUCCUCAAAUACGAUCCUGCUCAAAUUCUUUCUCAACUCCAUCAAAACUGCAUUAUUUUAUCCAUAAAAAACUCGUGUCGUAUCGUCUAAUGGGUCAAUAUCCAUCACACGGAACGGAACCCAUACCCAAAACUCAAAUCCCAAGUUCAUAUCUAAUACUCCCUCCGUCCCAAUAAUCUUGUCCCACUUUCCUUUUUGGGUUGUCCCAAUAAUCUUGUCCCAUUUCCUUUUUAGGAAAGUUUUAGGAACUAAUUAAUUUCUAAUUAAACACUAUCCUAAUUAAUUCCCCCUCUAAACCCUAAUUUAUCUCUCUCUCUCUCUCCACACUCUCUUGCCUCCCCUCUUCUCUACCCUUCGCCCACCCCCCCCUCCGUCCUCUCGCCUUCCCCACCUUCCCCCUCUGUAAAUCGGCCUCCCCCUUCCCCCUCUGUUCCGCCGGCACUGGCGCCGGCGCCGCCUCCCCCCUUCCCUCUCUGUUUCGCCUGCGUCGCCUCCCCUCUCCCCCCUCUGUUUCGCCGGCGCCGCCUCCCCCCUUUCCCUCUGUUUCGCCGGCGUCGCCUCCCCUCUGUGUACCGGCGCCUUUGAGCUUGUCCGCCCUCUCACCUCCGCCCUCCCGCCUCCGCCCUCCCGCCUCUCCUCUGUUUUCUUUUUUUUCUUCAGAAAUUAGUGCUCGCCCUCUCACCUCUUCGCCUUCGUCCUCCCGUCUUCGCCACACAGAGGGGAGGCGACGCCUCUGCCUCUCGCCUCUUCGCCACCACCUGUAGAAAUCUGAGAUCUGAGAUGUUGCGAGGUGUUGCGCUGCUCUGAAUCUGAGAUCUGCGCGGCGGCGGGCGGCGGGCGGUGGUGGCGUUGCUCCGCUGCACUGAAUCUGCGAUCUAUGUCGGUCUGUGAAGAAUGAUCAGUGAAGAAUGAUGGUGUGUUUCUUUAAUUUCUUGAAUUUCUAUAAACACUUCUUGAAUUUGGGGGAAAUGAUGUGUGUUAAAUUUUUUUGUUGGUUGUUUGAAUGAUGGUGUGUAGUGGGUGGAGAGAGACAGACGAGGGGAAAGGAAGGAUGCCGGCCAGCCGGAGUUGAGAGCGACGUCGGCAGCAUAAUUUUGAAGAAUUAAUUGUUGCUUUGUUAUCAAUACUUAAAUCAAUUAACAAUAUAAUUAAACAUGUGGGCCAUACAACUUAACCUCUAAUACAACUCUCCUUAAUACCCGUGCCGAAAAGAAACAGGACAAGAUUACCGGGACGGAGGGAGUAUUAGCAAACUGCCAUUCUCCCGCCAAUUUUAGCCGAACAGGUCCCCUUGUUGAAUUUCAAAUUGCAGCAACAAGAUCACCACAUUUUUUUCACUCUCAAGUUUUUCCAUUGUUUUUUCUCUCUUUUCUUUUUUAUUUUUUAAUUCUUUCUAAAAAGUCGUUAACUUUAUUCAUUAAAAAAAUAUUAAUAUGAGAUGCUAAAUUAAAGAUUUCUAGAAAAUCUUUAAUUUGAUUUAAAAAGUUUAAAAAAUAAAUUUGAAAUACAUAAGUUUUUAAUCAUUUGAAGGGACAUAAUUAAUUUUUAUUUUUUUCUCUCUAACAUUAAACAUCGUUCUCUUUUUCAUUCCGCUAUUUCACGGUUUAAAUUGGAACCGUGAGAGAGCUUUUCACGGUUAAGUUUUGAUUUCAAAUUAUGAAACCGUUUCACGAUUCAAAUCGGAACCGUAAGGCAAUGAAGGGGCUUUCACGGUUCAGCUCCGAUUUCAAAUUCUGAAACCGUAAAACCGCCUAUUCGAUUCUAGAUCGAACCGUGGCCACCUCUACUAUCCUUUCUUAUAAAGAGUUAAAUCAUGUAUUUUGGAAUGGAUAACUGGUAUCUAUGCAUUGUAGGCGACCAAACACGGUCUUGUUAUUUUCCCGCCCAAAUAAAUAUUCACCCAAAUAAACACACCUUUCCAAAUUCCUCUCCUUCCCAUUCUACAUUUUCAUUCGCCAUGGGAAGACGGAAAAGCAGAAAUCGAAAACGGCGGGUUCAAAGAAAAACUCCGGCGCCAGCUGCUUCAUCCUCGGCCUCUCCGCCACCGUGGAUCGAACUUCCCGGUGAUGUAACGGCCAACAUUAUGCAGAUGGUUGGCGCGGAGGGGAUGCUAAUGAGCGCGCAGCAAGUGUGUAGUACAUGGUGGAAAGCUUGCAAGGAUCCUGCCUUGUGGAGAGUGAUCGAUUUGUUCAAUCCUGAUUCUGAUUCUAGGACCGUGGAAAAGAAAUACGUUGCCAUGUGCCGCCGCGCAGUGGAUCGGAGCCAGGGGCAAUUGGUCGACCUCACCAUUAAAUUCUUCGGCGACGGUGAACUGAUAAACUACGUCGCCGAUCGGUAAAUAUUACUUCACUAUUUAUAUUACUUGAAGAAUGAUGAUUCAUCGUUGUUGAACGAGUAAUAUUUGAGGCAUUUAUAGAUUUAUAAAGCUUCUUGUGGUGUUGUUGAAAAAAACGUGGAUUAACAUUUUUUUUUAAUGAUUGAAAAUUUGAGGUCUUGCUUCAAAGCUCAAAUUUGGCAGUGCCUCUUGACCUUACCUAAGCAUAUGCAAAGACACCUUCGACUAACUCUGUGAAUGAACAGCUAUUCGAAGCUCUGCUCGAAAAUAGCUCAUCGCCUCGUUUGACUCGUGUUCAUGUUUGGAUUCAUUUGUUUACAGUGGAGGGGAGUGAGCUACUGAAAAAUCAAAAAGUUUUAUCUCUCUCUCCCUUUUUAGUUUCGCCGUUGCUUUGAACAAGAAAACUUUUUGCAGGUAUUCAAAAGGAUCCCUCUUUUAGAAAUUGUGACUUGAAGUUGCAACCUCUGUUAAUGAAAUUUUGUUGGUUUGGAACCUUUUUUAGUUGCACUUUGAAGUUGUAUAUACCUGUGUUCCAAACACCUCCAACAGAAAUUCAGUGUUAAAAACAUGUGCUUAAUAUGACUAAGGCAAUCAUCAAAAGAAGAGUAUAUUGUGCUUCAUUGAACAUUUUCUAAUUUUUAUAACUUUCUUUGUAAUCAUCUUCUAGCUAAAAAAAAUCAUUAUGAGGUCUAAUCUUGUGCUGUUUGACAGAUCACAAAAUCUCAAACGUCUUAAACUUGUAUCUGGCAAUGAGAUUUCUGUUGGUGCUUUAAUUCAACCGAUUGAAAAUUUUGGACAGUUGGAAGAAUUGCACCUUACUGCCCCAUGGAUUUCUGCUCACCAGAUUGAAGCUAUUGGCCAUUCUUGCUCAAAGUUGAAAUCAUUCUCCUAUAACAAACGUGGUUCAAGGUAUUAUACUUUUGAAGGAUUUGAUGAGAAUGUGUAUGCGGCAGCAAUCGGAAAAUGCAUGCCUAAUUUGCACCAUCUUCAACUUGUUGCACAUAAGAUGGGAAAUAAAGGACUUGAAGCCAUCCUUGAUGGCUGUCCACGCCUCGAAUCACUUGACAUCCGGCAAUGCUUUGGUCUCGAUCUUGGAGGGGAUUUAGGGAAAAGAUGCCGUGAGCAGAUAAAAGAUCUGAGAUUCCCUAAUGACUCGGUUAGUGAUGUAUCAUGGCUUGUUGGGGAACCAUCUGAAUUGGAUUAUGAUUGUUACGCGACUAUGAUGAUUAUCACCAAGAUAUAGAUUUUGAAUAUGACGACGACUACUCUUCUCGUGGCUAUGGAUCCUUCAACAAUGACUGGCUUGGGAUUUUCGACCGCAACUACUUCUGAGCUAGGAACAGGACCAUAGCAGAGGGUAAAGCUUUCUUAAUUUCGUUUUAUCGAUUUAUGGUUUAAGAUACAUGGCCAAAUAAUACUCCUCACCUAUUUUUUUUGUAGGUUUUUGUGUUGCUAGUUGAUUUCAAGUGGUUAUGGCGCAGUUUGGGACUUUCAAUCUAUGUCUAGUGAGAUAUGAAUGGUAGUAGCAAUGUACAUCUUAUGACUCUGCCCUCAGUUUGCAUGUUUUAGUAGCUGAACCUAACUCUAUGCAUGAGAAAUAUUUAAUAGUUAUGUUAUUCGCCG
RNAcentral lists this long non-coding RNA (29494 nucleotides) under Salvia miltiorrhiza (redroot sage). RNAcentral's name for it is "long non-coding RNA (SMIL_LNC007913)". The record is from RNAcentral. Lineage: Eukaryota; Viridiplantae; Streptophyta; Magnoliopsida; Lamiales; Lamiaceae.